UGACAGAGAGAGGGAGGGGGUGACUAGUGACAGAGUGAGGGAGGGGGUGACUAGUGACAGAGUGAGUGAUUAGUGACAGAAGGAGGGAUGGGGUGACUAGUGACAGUCACCACCUCCUUCACUCUGUCACUAGUCACCCACUCCCUCCCUCACUCUGUCACUAGUCACCCCCUCUCUCACUCUGUCAC
Pelobates cultripes (western spadefoot toad) is the source of this 188-nucleotide non-coding RNA. The record is from the annotation of a GenBank genome assembly. Lineage: Eukaryota; Metazoa; Chordata; Amphibia; Anura; Pelobatidae.